Melanotaenia boesemani (Boeseman's rainbowfish) is the source of this 696-nucleotide long non-coding RNA. RefSeq lists it as uncharacterized. The transcript is spliced from 5 exons. Lineage: Eukaryota; Metazoa; Chordata; Actinopteri; Atheriniformes; Melanotaeniidae. The record is from RefSeq and is a predicted model, not a curated record.
CCAGGUUAGACCUGGGUGGUCCAGGUUGUUUCCAUGUUGGACCAGGUUAAUCCAGGUUAGUCCUGGGUGGUCCAGGUUGUUUCCAUGUAGGUCCAGGUUAAUCCAGGUUAGACCUGGGUGGUCCAGGUUGUUUCCAUGUAGGUCCAGGUUAAUCCAGGUUAGUCCUGGGUGGUCCAUGUUGUUUCCAUGUUGGUCCAGGUUAAUCCAAGUUAGUCCUGGGUGGUCCAGGUUGUUUCCAUGUUGGUCCAGGUUAAUCCAGGUUAGACCUGGGUGGUCCAGGUUGUUUCUAUGUUGGUCCAGGUUAAUCCAGGUUAGACCUGGGUGGUCCAGGUUGUUUCUAUGUUGGUCCAGGUAGGUCCAGGUUAAUCCAGGUUAGACCUGGGUGGUCCAGGUUGUUUCCAUGUUGGUCCAGGUUAAUCCAGGUUAGACCUGGGUGGUCCAGGUUGUUUCUAUGUUGGUCCAGGUUAAUCCAGGUUAGACCUGAGUGGUCCAGGUUGUUUCCAUGUUGGUCCAGGUUAAUCCAGGUUAGUCCUAGGUGGUCCAGGUUGUUUCUAUGUUGGUCCAGGUUAAUCCAGGUUAGUCCUGGGUGGUCCAGGUUGUUUCUAUGUUGGUCCAGGUUAAUCCAGGUUAGUCCUGGCUGGUCCAGGUUGUUUCUAUGUUGGUCCAGGUUAAUCCAGGUUAGACCUGAGUGGUCCA